UACGUCUGGAGAGCAAUCAUCUCAGUGGACCACUUCCUGAGUUUAAGUCCAUUGGGAACUUGAAUUCACUUCUGCUGCUGAAUUUAUCUCACAACAACCUCACUGGACAUAUUCCUGUUGAAAUGAAGAAAAUGAGCACGCUUGAAGUUUUGGACCUUUCAUUUAACCAGCUUACUGGGAAAAUUCCAGAGGAAUUGACAAGUCUAACAUUUCUUGCAGUUUUAAAUCUGUCGCACAACCAUCUUGUUGGACCUAUUCCUCAUAGUAAUCAGUUCAAUACGUUUCCAGAUGAUUCCUAUUUUGGAAACAGUGAUUUGUGUGGAUUUCCAUUGUCAAAUGAAUGUGGGCAUCAUAAGAGUGCAUCAGUACCAGAAUUAUUGGUUGAACAAGAAGAAGAUGAGCCCAGUUUUCUUACUGAAAUGACAUGGAAAUCUGUCUUAAUUGGGUAUGGUUGUGGCUUGAUAUUUGGAUUUACCGUCCUGUAUCUCAUAUACUGUUUUGAAAGGCCAAGAUGGUUCGUAGACUUUUUUGCAACUAUCACUAAUGAACUGACAUACAGAACAAAGAGGAGAGGUCAAAGACGUAGGAACUUUCACAGAAGAAGACACUAAAAUCUAUGAGGUAAUAUUUUAUAGUCAGGUUACUGUUUCUAAUUCAUUCUUCUUCUUGUUUACACAAUAUUCGAAGGCCC
RNAcentral lists this long non-coding RNA (691 nucleotides) under Nicotiana tabacum (common tobacco). RNAcentral describes it as "long non-coding RNA (NTAB_LNC002693)". Lineage: Eukaryota; Viridiplantae; Streptophyta; Magnoliopsida; Solanales; Solanaceae. The record is from RNAcentral.